GGAGGGCUGUGCCACGACCCCUUCACUGCCCAGGCACCCCACAGCCUCCCUGCUCACCCCUUUGCCAGCAUGAGCUACAUGUCCCACCCGUGGGAUGGCAGCACCCGACUGUGCCCCCUAAGACGUGCCAGCCAAGAGCCACCCCAUGCUGUGCCAGCCCCAGUGACCCCAGCUCAGUCCUGCCCUACACGCAGCCUGGCAGCUCUGUGCUCGAACACCCUGCAAGAUGCCAGACCCUGUGCCAGCCUUUCCCUGUGGGAGCAAAGUGCCACUUCCCUGGCAGCCCAGCCAGCAGACAGAGGGGACAGCCAGCUGCACGGAGCACGCUGCUAGAA
Cyanistes caeruleus (blue tit) is the source of this 335-nucleotide long non-coding RNA. RefSeq lists it as uncharacterized. The record is from RefSeq and is a predicted model, not a curated record. Lineage: Eukaryota; Metazoa; Chordata; Aves; Passeriformes; Paridae.